AGAGUUUGAUCCUGGCUCAGGACGAACGCUGGCGGCGUGCCUAACACAUGCAAGUCGAGCGAUGAAAUCCCUUCGGGGAUGGAUUAGCGGCGGACGGGUGAGUAACACGUGGGUAACCUGCCUCAAAGAGGGGGAUAGCCUCCCGAAAGGGAGAUUAAUACCGCAUAACAAUUAUUUUCCGCAUGGAAGAUAAUUUAAAGGAGUAAUCCGCUUUGAGAUGGACCCGCGGCGCAUUAGCUAGUUGGUGAGGUAAAGGCUCACCAAGGCGACGAUGCGUAGCCGACCUGAGAGGGUGAUCGGCCACAUUGGAACUGAGACACGGUCCAGACUCCUACGGGAGGCAGCAGUGGGGAAUAUUGCACAAUGGGCGAAAGCCUGAUGCAGCAACGCCGCGUGAGUGAUGAAGGCCUUCGGGUUGUAAAGCUCUGUCUUUGGGGACGAUAAUGACGGUACCCAAGGAGGAAGCCACGGCUAACUACGUGCCAGCAGCCGCGGUAAUACGUAGGUGGCAAGCGUUGUCCGGAUUUACUGGGCGUAAAGGAUGCGUAGGCGGAUAUUUAAGUGAGAUGUGAAAUUCCCGAGCUUAACUUGGGAGCUGCAUUUCAAACUGGAUAUCUAGAGUGUGGGAGAGGAGAAUGGAAUUCCUAGUGUAGCGGUGAAAUGCGUAGAGAUUAGGAAGAACACCAGUGGCGAAGGCGAUUCUCUGGACCAUAACUGACGCUGAGGCAUGAAAGCGUGGGUAGCAAACAGGAUUAGAUACCCUGGUAAUCCACGCCGUAAACGAUGAGUACUAGGUGUAGGGGGGUCCAACCCUCUGUGCCGCAGUUAACACAAUAAGUACUCCGCCUGGGAAGUACGAUCGCAAGAUUAAAACUCAAAGGAAUUGACGG
Molecule: ribosomal RNA, 890 nt
Filed under: uncultured bacterium
Lineage: Bacteria
Description: bacterial SSU rRNA
Rfam family: Bacterial small subunit ribosomal RNA
Source: RNAcentral